RNAcentral lists this transfer RNA (77 nucleotides) under Actinomycetota bacterium. RNAcentral describes it as "tRNA-Arg". It matches the Rfam family "tRNA". From Rfam's summary of the family: Transfer RNA (tRNA) molecules are approximately 80 nucleotides in length. Lineage: Bacteria; Bacillati; Actinomycetota. The record is from RNAcentral.
GCGCCCGUGGCUCAACUGGAUAGAGCAUCUGACUUCGGAUCAGAGGGUUGGGGGUUCGAAUCCCUCCGGGCGUGCUA